Molecule: ribosomal RNA, 509 nt
Filed under: uncultured bacterium
Lineage: Bacteria
Description: partial 16S ribosomal RNA
Rfam family: Bacterial small subunit ribosomal RNA
Source: RNAcentral
GACGAACGCUGGCGGCGUGCUUAACACAUGCAAGUCGAACGGAUUUAUGAUGAAACCUAGUGAUUCAUAAGUUAGUGGCGGACGGGUGAGUAACGCGUGGAUAACCUGCCUUAUACCGGGGGAUAACACUUAGAAAUAGGUGCUAAUACCGCAUAAGCGCACAGAGCCGCAUGGCUUGGUGUGAAAAACUCCGGUGGUAUAAGAUGGAUCCGCGUCUGAUUAGCUAGUUGGUGAGGUAAGGGCUCACCAAGGCGACGAUCAGUAGCCGGCCUGAGAGGGUGAACGGCCACACUGGGACUGAGACACGGCCCAGACUCCUACGGGAGGCAGCAGUGGGGAAUUUUGGACAAUGGGCGCAAGCCUGAUCCAGCAAUGCCGCGUGAGUGAAGAAGGCCUUCGGGUUGUAAAGCUCUUUUGUCAGGGAAGAAACGGCUGGGGCUAAUACCUCUGGCUAAUGACGGUACCUGAAGAAUAAGCACCGGCUAACUACGUGCCAGCAGCCGCGGUAA